AUACGUAGGGUGCAAGCGUUAAUCGGAAUUACUGGGCGUAAAGCGUGCGCGGGCGGUUGUGCAAGUCUGAUGUGAAAGCCCCGGGCUUAACCUGGGAACGGCAUUGGAGACUGCAUAACUAGAGUGCGUCAGAGGGGGGUAGAAUUCCACGUGUAGCAGUGAAAUGCGUAGAGAUGUGGAGGAAUACCGAUGGCGAAGGCAGCCCCCUGGGAUGACACUGACGCUCAUGCACGAAAGCGUGGGGAGCAAACAGGAUUAGAUACCCUGGUAGUCCACGCCCUAAACGAUGUCAAUUAGCUGUUGGGGGUUUGAAUCCUUGGUAGCGAAGCUAACGCGUGAAAUUGACCGCCUGGGGAGUACGGCCGCAAGGUUAAA
This 375-nucleotide ribosomal RNA is filed under the name uncultured bacterium. Its description in RNAcentral is "bacterial SSU rRNA". It matches the Rfam family "Bacterial small subunit ribosomal RNA", at positions 523 to 898 of the family's 1533-position model. The record is from RNAcentral.